Molecule: ribosomal RNA, 256 nt
Filed under: uncultured bacterium
Lineage: Bacteria
Description: partial 16S ribosomal RNA
Rfam family: Bacterial small subunit ribosomal RNA
Source: RNAcentral
GACGAACCGUGCGAACGUUUAUUCGGAAUCACUGGGCUUAAAGCGCGUGUAGGCGGGGCGGCACGUCGGUCGCUGAAAGCCCCCGGCUCAACCGGGGAACGGGCGCCGAUACGACCGCCCUCGAGGGACGUAGGGGGACCUGGAACUUCCGGUGGAGCGGUGAAAUGCGUUGAGAUCGGAAGGAACGCCCGUGGCGAAAGCGAGGUCCUGGACGUCUGCUGACGCUGAGACGGCGAAAGCCAGGGGAGCGAACGGG